Molecule: ribosomal RNA, 462 nt
Filed under: uncultured ammonia-oxidizing beta proteobacterium
Lineage: Bacteria; Pseudomonadati; Pseudomonadota; Betaproteobacteria
Description: bacterial SSU rRNA
Rfam family: Bacterial small subunit ribosomal RNA
Source: RNAcentral
AAGCAGGGGAUCGUAAGACCUUGCGCUUUUGGAGCGGCCGAUGUCUGAUUAGCUAGUUGGUGGGGUAAUGGCCUACCAAGGCUUCGAUCAGUAGCUGGUCUGAGAGGACGGCCAGCCACACUGGGACUGAGACACGGCCCAGACUCCUACGGGAGGCAGCAGUGGGGAAUUUUGGACAAUGGGCGCAAGCCUGAUCCAGCCAUGCCGCGUGAGUGAAGAAGGCCUUCGGGUUGUAAAGCUCUUUCAGCCGGGAAGAAAAGGUUGCGACUAAUAAUCGCAAUUCAUGACGGUACCGAAAGAAGAAGCACCGGCUAACUACGUGCCAGCAGCCGCGGUAAUACGUAGGGUGCGAGCGUUAAUCGGAAUUACUGGGCGUAAAGGGUGCGCAGGCGGUUUUGUAAGUCAGAUGUGAAAUCCCCGGGCUUAACCUGGGAACUGCGUUUGAAACUACAAGGCUAGAGU